AACUUUCAACAACGGAUCUCUUGGUUCCGGCAUCGAUGAAGAACGCAGCGAAAUGCGAUAAGUAAUGUGAAUUGCAGAAUUCCGUGAAUCAUCGAAUCUUUGAACGCACAUUGCGCCCUCUGGUAUUCCGGGGGGCAUGCCUGUUCGAGCGUCA
Ribosomal RNA from Coccidioides immitis H538.4, 154 nucleotides. It matches the Rfam family "5.8S ribosomal RNA". From Rfam's summary of the family: 5.8S ribosomal RNA (5.8S rRNA) is a component of the large subunit of the eukaryotic ribosome. It is transcribed by RNA polymerase I as part of the 45S precursor that also contains 18S and 28S rRNA. Functionally, it is thought that 5.8S rRNA may be involved in ribosome translocation. The record is from Rfam. NCBI's taxonomy places the organism in Eukaryota, Fungi, Ascomycota, Eurotiomycetes, Onygenales, Onygenaceae.